GAUGAACGCUAGCGGCAGGCUUAAUACAUGCAAGUCGAGGGGGUAACAGGGGGUAGCAAUACCUGCUGACGACCGGCAAACGGGGUGCGGAACACGUACGCAACUUUCCCAAAACUGGUGAAUAGCCCUCCGAAAGGAGGAUUAAUACACCGUAACAUAAUGAAGUGGCAUCACUUUAUUAUUAUAGCUCCGGCGGUUUUGGAUGGGCGUGCGCCUGAUUAGGUAGUUGGCGGGGUAACGGCCACCAAGCCUGCGAUCAGUAACUGGUGUGAGAGCAC
RNAcentral lists this ribosomal RNA (278 nucleotides) under uncultured bacterium. Its description in RNAcentral is "partial 16S ribosomal RNA". It matches the Rfam family "Bacterial small subunit ribosomal RNA", at positions 28 to 301 of the family's 1533-position model. The record is from RNAcentral.